CCUGGUGGCUCAGAUGGUAAAGCGUCUGCCUGCAAUGCGGGAGACCUGGGUUCAAUCCCUGGGUCAGGA
This 69-nucleotide transfer RNA is filed under the name Odocoileus virginianus texanus. It matches the Rfam family "tRNA". Rfam says of the family: Transfer RNA (tRNA) molecules are approximately 80 nucleotides in length. Their secondary structure includes four short double-helical elements and three loops (D, anti-codon, and T loops). Lineage: Eukaryota; Metazoa; Chordata; Mammalia; Artiodactyla; Cervidae. RNAcentral also lists the same sequence under 9 other names. The record is from Rfam by way of RNAcentral.